This 500-nucleotide ribosomal RNA is filed under the name uncultured bacterium. RNAcentral describes it as "partial 16S ribosomal RNA". It matches the Rfam family "Bacterial small subunit ribosomal RNA", at positions 30 to 523 of the family's 1533-position model. The record is from RNAcentral.
AUUGAACGCUGGCGGCAGGCCUAACACAUGCAAGUCGAGCGGUAGAGAGAAGCUUGCUUCUCUUGAGAGCGGCGGACGGGUGAGUAAUGCCUAGGAAUCUGCCUGGUAGAGGGGGAUAACGUUCGGAAACGGACGCUAAUACCGCAUACGUCCUACGGGAGAAAGCAGGGGACCUUCGGGCCUCGCGCUAUCAGAUGAGCCUAGGUCGGAUUAGCUAGUUGGUGAGGUAAUGGCUCACCAAGGCGACGAUCCGUAACUGGUCUGAGAGGAUGAUCAGUCACACUGGAACUGAGACACGGUCCAGACUCCUACGGGAGGCAGCAGUGGGGAAUAUUGGACAAUGGGCGAAAGCCUGAUCCAGCCAUGCCGCGUGUGUGAAGAAGGUCUUCGGAUUGUAAAGCACUUUAAGUUGGGAGGAAGGGUUGUAGAUUAAUACUCUGCAAUUUUGACGUUACCGACAGAAUAAGCACCGGCUAACUCUGUGCCAGCAGCCGCCGUAA